ACUCAUUCUGACAGAAGCAGAGAUAAAACAGACUAAGUACACAGAGGAGUUUAAGGUUUCGUGAAUGUAAGUGCUGAGUACAGAAUGGUGCUCAAUAAAAGCUUGUUAAUUGAUGGACCACAGGUUUGUGACAAGACUUCUCAGAGUCUGAUUCUUUCAAGGUGGGAUAUAAGAGUAAGUAAAUGGCAUGGGGAAAAUCUGAUUGCCACAGACAGAAGAAUGAAACUGGAUGCCUAUUUCUCACAAUACACAAAAGCGAUUCAAGAUUAAAGACUUAACUAUACCUUGACUAUGAAUAAUAGUUUCAAUAAGGAAGACAGAAUGAGUUCUGACACGAUGGUUGGGAGCUGUGACAGGCAGACGAAAAAUGGAGCCAAAUGGCAUGGAGGUGUGUCAUCACUGCUGGAUUUUACCUUGAUCUACAUUCAGUUAUCUACUUCUUUUCAAAAUGCUGGGCAUUCAUUCAAGAAACAGCAUAUAUGUUCUGACUUUGAAGUAAUGGAUGAACUGUCAUGUGCAGUAUAUGGAAAUAAGUUUUAUUACCUUCUUCCCACAUUAACUCAUCCAUCCAUUCAAUAGCCAUUUAUUGAGAAGCUCACUCUGUGUUAGGCACAGUGGUGUCAUGAUGUUGGAACAGUAACAAUAACUCAACCAACCAGGGCUUGUCUGAAUACAAUCCUACAGCAGCAGGAGCUGUGGAGAUAUAGAAGGCAAGGAAGACCAGGUUGUGAGGGAAGACGAAUUUACUCCCAGGAAUGUUGGGAUUGAGAGUAAUAUUCUCCAAUAAUGGUGGAAGACAGAACAAUAAAAGCCCACCAGCUCCUUCUGCAUGGUGGGAUAAGAGAAAAGCCAAGGGCAGAAGUGAGAAAAAUAACCAUCACCAAACUGAAAAGAAAACCUUUAUAAAAAAACUGGAUUGAUAAAUGACCUUUAGUAGUGGAAAGAUACCAUUCCAAUGAAGCAUGAAUUGAAAGGAUUUCUUCUGAAAGCUAAUUUACAUUUUUCUUUUUUUUUUUUUCAUUUUCAGUGUGUUUUAGCAGGUGUAUUGUUCUACAUGGUUAGUUUCUUUACCUCUUUGAGAAAAAUGGGUCAGCUUGACACAUCUGGAUGAAAGAAUCCGUUAGGUGAUUAUGAUUGAAGACAGAUUAAGCCUUGUUAUGAGGGGAAUAUUUGGGGGCUUACCCUGAGGUGAUAUUUGAUGAUUUAGCUGUGGGAGAAUUUCCCUCCCAAGAUCAGCGUGACUGACACUGAAAUUGCUACAGGGGAACCGGACCUUUCCAAGAGGUGACAAGGACAUUUACCUGGUACAACACAAUGGUUCUGGACUGGAAGUCUAGUCCCAUUGAUGAAGUUCCCAAAAGAUGUCCAGGUCCUAAUCCCUGGAAUCUGUGAAUAUGUCAUCUUACACAUCAAAAGAACUUUGAAAAUGUGAUUGAGGUUAAGGACCUUGGAAUGAGGAGAUUACCUUGGAUUAUCUGGUUGGGUCCAAGCUAAUCACAUGAGUCCUUAAAGGAGAAGAACCUUUUUUAGCUGGGUCAGAGAGAGAUGUGAUGAUGAAAACAGGCUCAGGGAGAUGCACUGUAAGAAGGGCUUGACCAGUUGUUUUUGACUUUGAAGAUGGAGGGAAGGGCCAGGAGCCAAGGAAGGUGGGUGGCUUUUGGAAGGUGGAAAAAGCAAGGGAACAUUCUCUCCAGAGCCUCCAGAAAGGAGCUCAGCCCUGUUGACAUCUUUGUUUUUAUUUUUUAUUUUUAGUAGCAUUGAGGUCUCACUAUGUUGCACAGGCUGGUCUUGAACUCUUGAGCUCAAGCACUCCUCCCGCCUUGGCUUCCCAAAGUGCUGGGAUUAUAGGCAUGUGCCACCACAUCUGGCUUCCUACUGACAUCUUAACUUUAGUGCAGUGAGACUCAUAUUUGAAUUUCUGACCUUAUAUUAUAGAACCAUAAGACAUUAUAGAAUUAUAUAGAAUUAUAGAACCAUAAGACAAUAACUUUGUGUUGUUUUAAGAUACUAAAUUUUUGGUAAUUUGUUAUGGCAGCACAAUAAAACCAAUAUAGCAUUAUAUU
Molecule: long non-coding RNA, 2063 nt
Filed under: Homo sapiens (human)
Lineage: Eukaryota; Metazoa; Chordata; Mammalia; Primates; Hominidae
Description: HSALNT0313192
Source: RNAcentral